AAUUCAAUUGUUAUUGCAAUUAAAUAAAUGAUGUAUCUGUUAAAAUUAAUUACAGAAACAUCAAUAUCAUGAAAUCAUGAAUAGCAAUUUUACCAAAGAAAGAAAAUUAAGAAAGCAAGAUAUAAACAAUUAAACAUGCAAUGCGUAUGUGAAAUGACCUCUUAAUACGGUAUAAAGACAAAACAAGAGAUGCUUAGAGUAAAACAGAGAAAAUAAUGGAUACUGAUUACUGGGUGCUGACGAUCAACUAAAAGAUAACAGUGAUUGCUUGUUAAACAUAGGAAAUACCCAACAUACUAGACAACCUUUUGGCUUCCCCGUCCGUCCUCUGGACUCUUGUUCCUGUUGGAUAAUUUGACCAUUUCUGAGUCGGAAAUAAUAAUAAAUGACUCAAAUAGUUUUAUGAUGCUAAAACAUUGCAUUCUCAAUGAAUAAAUAUUGAAAAAGUUAGGCACUGAUCAGGUAGUUAGCACUAAAUUUCAUAUUUCCAAAGCAAUUUAAUAAUGAAAAAAAAAUAUACGGAGAGAUUCUUUCCCUUAGUUGACUGUACUGCAUGUUAGGAAAUGCCAUGUAUCUAUGGACUUGUCUCACUCAUGCAACAGUUAUCGUAAUCAAAGUUUGAAAAAAAAUCAAUUCAUAGUUCACACAAUUUCCAACCUCUUCCUGGCAUCUACUAUCUCCAAUUCUCCAUUUCCAAAUUAAAAACAUCGAAUCCAUUCUCUUUUUUCUUUAACAUGAUAUUCUCUAGUUUAUGUUAGAUGCAACCCAAGUAAUAGUAUCCAAGUAAUCUAACCAAUCAACCAUCUAUAAAAAUAAAAUAGAGUGAUCAGCCAAAAUAGCCCUUUUUUAAUGUCUUCUCCUAUAUGGCUGGCUAUAUAUCCCCUUUGUUCAUCGUUUCAUCUCCACGACAAAAAAAAAAUUACUAUCGGAAUUUGGAAAGAAGAAAAAAAAAGCAAUCCCCAUCACUUGUCAUAUCAUAAUUCUAUCGUGCAGAAUUAGAUGCCCCCAUAUUCGUUCCCUUUCUUAGCUUUUUAGUUUUUAGCUUCUGGGCUUAUAUAUAUUGUCAUUUAUUCAAUCCAUUCCAAUCAAAAAUAAUAAUUCUGGGUUCUAGUUUCUACCUUCAACCAUUCCAAUGGCCGCAGAUGCAGAGACGACCAAGCUUUUCUCUAUCACUCAGAAUCCCACUUCUAGCAUUAAGGUAAAUUUAACUGCAGUCAUACGAUAACAUAAUAGCAAACAUGUGAGUACUGAUAUACUGAUAUUGAUUGAUAUACUUACUUGUGAUUUUGUGAAUCAGAGCGGAGUAACAAAGGAGUUGAGAGAGCUCUGGUCAAUGGCAGUCCCGAUCACAACAAUGAACAUUGUGGUUUACCUCCGAUCACUGAUAUCUGUUCUCUGUCUUGGUCGUCUGGGUAGUCUUGAACUCGCAGGAGGAGCUUUAUCUAUAGGAUUCACCAACAUCACCGGUUACAGUGUUCUGUUCGGACUGGCAUCCGGUUUGGAACCGUUCUGCAGUCAAGCAUUUGGAUCGAAGAACUACGAGUUGAUUUCCUUGUCUUUCCAGCGAACCAUCCUCCUU
This 1579-nucleotide long non-coding RNA is filed under the name Zostera marina. RNAcentral describes it as "long non-coding RNA (ZMAR_LNC003652)". Lineage: Eukaryota; Viridiplantae; Streptophyta; Magnoliopsida; Alismatales; Zosteraceae. The record is from RNAcentral.